This 253-nucleotide ribosomal RNA is filed under the name uncultured bacterium. RNAcentral's name for it is "partial 16S ribosomal RNA". It matches the Rfam family "Bacterial small subunit ribosomal RNA", at positions 524 to 776 of the family's 1533-position model. The record is from RNAcentral.
UACGUAGGGUGCAAGCGUUGUCCGGAAUUAUUGGGCGUAAAGAGCUUGUAGGCGGUUUGUCGCGUCUGCUGUGAAAUUUCGCGGCUCAACCCCGAACUUGCAGUGGGUACGGGCAGACUAGAGUGUGGUAGGGGAGACUGGAAUUCCUGGUGUAGCGGUGAAAUGCGCAGAUAUCAGGAAGAACACCCGUGGCGAAGGCGGCUCUCUGGGACGGUACUGACGCUGAGACGCGAAAGCGUGGGGAGCGAACAGG